UAAUUGAAAAUAUUUAUUAAUUAAAUAUAAUAAAAUCACAGUUACACAAUUAAUGGUCACAGAUUUAUGAUUAUUGGUUACAUAUCAUCGAAUUAAUUGGUUACAGAUUAUUUUGAGUUCACAAAUAAAAAAUUUUGUAUGUCACAGAUUAUUUCGAGUUCACUGAUAAAAAAUUUACAUGUCACAAAUUAUUUUGUAGGUCAUAGCUCACAUCAUUGGUCACAAAUUCAAAAACUAUAGGUCACAAGUCACACAUUUUCUAAUUUGAUAUUUACAGAUUACUUUUUAACGACAAAUGAUCGAAUUUUAAUGUCAUAGUUUACGGCCACAGUCCCCACAACCAUAAGCAUCCCUUCUCUUCUUAGACUUCAGUCUGUAACAACAACUAUCCGUUCUCUUCUCAAAUGGAUUGCCACAACCAUCUCAAAUUGCAACCAUGCCUUGUCUUUUUUGAAUUUGAUCUGCAGUGGCACCUGAUUUGUAGCAACAAGCAGUGCUUAGCAAUCGAGCGCAACAAUCAUAGCAAAGAGGGAGACGAGAUCGAUGGUGGCUUCUAGUGCGAUGGAUAGAGAGAGAUUAUAGUGCAAACCGUCCGAUCUUCAUAGUGAACUUGAUGCUCUAUAGCAAAGCAUGUCUAUUAGAGCAUCUGCAAAGAGAAUAGAGGAAGUGGCUACGUGGUGUGCUUCUCUGCAUUUGUGAACGAUGGUGGCAUCGAUAUGGUAGAAAGGAAGAGAGAGAAUGAUGGUAGUGCCGGCUUAUGGGUUGGUGGUGUAGAGAGAUUAGGUUUUGUAGUGGGGUGGGUGGGUAAGUUGAAUUGAUACCUGCUUUUUGCUUAAAUAAACUUCCCA
RNAcentral lists this long non-coding RNA (848 nucleotides) under Olea europaea subsp. europaea. The record is from RNAcentral. Lineage: Eukaryota; Viridiplantae; Streptophyta; Magnoliopsida; Lamiales; Oleaceae.